GUCCAGGCAGCCAGCCAGUGUUGCUGGAGAGGCGAGAGCGGGAGGUCGCACACCGCUCGUCUCCUGACUCCGGGACCAUCUCUCUCUCUCUCUCCCGUCUGUCCCUCUCUGUCUCCUUCCAGCAUUGGUUGAAAGUGUUGACGGUGCCAGUAUUUUAUCUAUGGUGUGGGUUGUGACAGAGAGAUGCCGAAGUGAGGAAGGGCUGUGGUGGGGAUUAUGAGUGAGGAGAGUUUGGUUCGCGGGUAGGAAGAUAAAAGAGAAGAAGAAGCCAAGAUGAAGUUGAAAUUAAGGCAUCUAAUUAUACAGUUCGGUUUUGCUGUGGCCCUCAUCAUAACAGGUUGUAUGGCCAAUCCGGAUGCGAAACGGCUGUACGAUGAUCUACUGAGCAAUUACAAUCGGCUCAUUCGGCCUGUUCUGAACAACUCCCAGAAGCUCACGGUCAACCUGGGAUUGAAACUCUCGCAGCUGAUUGAUGUGAACUUGAAGAACCAGAUUAUGACAUCCAAUGUCUGGGUCGAGCAAAGAUGGAACGACUACAAGUUACAGUGGAAGCCAGAAGAGUAUGGGGGAGUCGACAUGCUCUAUGUCCCCUCCGAACACAUAUGGCUCCCUGAUAUUGUGCUCUACAACAAUGCUGACGGAAACUACGAGGUGACGCUCAUGACGAAGGCCACGCUGAAAUAUACGGGAGAGGUUAUGUGGAAGCCCCCGGCCAUCUACAAGUCUUCCUGCGAAAUAGACGUCGAGUGGUUUCCGUUUGACGAACAAUCGUGCAACAUGAAGUUCGGAUCGUGGACAUAUGAUGGUUUGCAGGUGGAUCUGAAACACAUUAAACAGAAGAGAGGGAGCAACAUUGUCCAACUGGGAAUAGACCUCAGAGAAUUCUACAUGUCUGUGGAAUGGGAUAUUCUGGAAGUUCCAGCCCGAAGGAACCAGGAGUAUUUCCCCGGAACGCCUGAACCAUACCCAGACAUCACCUUCAACUUGACGAUGCGCCGGAAGACGUUGUUCUACACUGUCAACCUCAUCAUUCCCUGCGUCGGUAUAUCCUUCCUGACGGUGCUGGUCUUCUAUCUACCGUCCGAUUCAGGGGAAAAGGUUACUUUGUGUAUCUCCAUUCUGCUGUCCCUCACUGUGUUCUUCCUUCUGUUGGCUGAAAUCAUUCCCCCCACCUCCUUGGCUGUCCCCCUCCUCGGCAAGUACCUCCUCUUCACCAUGAUCCUCGUCACCCUCUCCAUCUGCGUCACCGUCGGCGUACUUAACAUCCACUUCAGAUCGCCCUCCACCCACAAAAUGUCGCCCUGGGUCAAACGCGUCUUCAUUCACAUCAUGCCCAGACUGCUUCUCAUGAGACGGCCACAGUACGACCCAAGGGAAAGAUACAUCAGGUCUCCUUCUGAACAAGAGUACUUCGAUGGACUCGGCGACGGAGAUGUAUGUGAUCCAUACAACGAUCCCUUCGUAGAAUUUCGAGGAGGCGAGCGAAGGGGCUUCAAUGGUAAUGGUGGCAGUGCCGGAGGGGGUGGAGGCGGAGGUGGCGGAGGAGGAGGUGGAGGUGGUGGCGGUGGCGGUGGUGGAGGGGGAGGAGGAGGCGGAGGCGGAGGAAACGGAUUCAAGUUCAACGAAGAUUUUCUGACUUCGCAUUCUGCUGGUAAAUGUGGUUUUCUCCUCACUUUUCGGAAGUGUAAAGAUUUUAGAUGUUUUGAUGAAUUGCUAAGGGAGGUUAUUAAAGACCUUGGGGGCUGUCACCUCCACAACCAGAGAACUUACUCACCUGAAAUCCAAAAAGCGAUUGAGGGAGUCCAGUAUAUUGCUCAGCACAUCAAAGAUGCAGACAGAGAUAAUGAGGAAUGCGAAGAUUGGAAAUUUAUAGCGACGGUCCUUGACCGACUUUUCCUGUAUGUGUUUCUGCUUCUAAAUAUCUUUGGCUUGGUGAUCUUUUUCCGAGCUCCGUCCCUCUAUGACCAAAGACCCUCAAUAGACAAUGAGCUUUCUGAAAUAACCUUAGUCAGCACCAGGCGAUAUGAGUAGGCUUCUCUCGCGUAGGGGCUGUCCCAAAUGCGGUGGUGAAGGUGGUAGUGAAGGUGUUGGUGUUGGUGUUAAUGUUGGUGUUGGUGAUUUGAUGGUGGUGAUGAUGAUGAUGAUGAUGAUGAUGAUGUUGGGGCGUGCCGCGAGAGCGAGAGAAAGCUAGCGAGUCGCCAUGUUGGUUUUCCAGUGAUUGAAGAUUGGAAGUACGUCGCAAUGGUACUGGAUCGCUUGUUCCUGUGGGUCUUCACCAUCGCUUGCGUUGUUGGAACCUGUGGGAUCAUCUUCCAGGCGCCCUCCCUCUAUGACACCAGAGGACCCAUAGACGAAGUCUAUUCAGAAAUCGGUCCUGCAAUUGCGGGUCAGAAUAAUUAAAUAACUUGACUCCUCCCAAUUAAAUAAAAGAAGAAGAGUUGAAA
Molecule: RNA transcript, 2444 nt
Organism: Macrobrachium nipponense
Lineage: Eukaryota; Metazoa; Arthropoda; Malacostraca; Decapoda; Palaemonidae
Gene: nAChRbeta2
Gene name: acetylcholine receptor subunit beta-like 2
Exons: 14
Source: RefSeq, a predicted model, not a curated record